ACGAAGGGGGCUAGCGUUGUUCGGAAUUACUGGGCGUAAAGCGCACGUAGGCGGAUAUUUAAGUCAGGGGUGAAAUCCCGAGGCUCAACCUCGGAACUGCCUUUGAUACUGGCAAUCUCGAGUCCGGAAGAGGUGAGUGGAAUUCCUAGUGUAGAGGUGAAAUUCGUAGAUAUUCGGAAGAACACCAGUGGCGAAGGCGACUUACUGGACACAUAUUGACGCUGAGGUGCGAAAGCGUGGGGAGCAAACAGGA
Molecule: ribosomal RNA, 253 nt
Filed under: uncultured prokaryote
Description: partial 16S ribosomal RNA
Rfam family: Bacterial small subunit ribosomal RNA
Source: RNAcentral